AAGUCGUAACAAGGUUUCCGUAGGUGAACCUGCGGAAGGAUCAUUAUUGAAUUACAGUUGGACUGAUGCUGGCUUUUGCAAGUGCUCGUCCUUCUUUCUUUCAUUUUUUCUCUUGUGCACCUUUUGUAGUCUUGGAUUGAAUGAACCCCUUCGCAGCAAUGCGGUUUUGGGGGGUUGACGCUGCUUGCCUCGUCUCCCCCUGCUUCGUUCUCCAGGACUAUGUUUUCAUACACCAUAAUAAAGUUACAGAAUGUCUUUUUGAAUGAUUGUGCUAGUCGCAGUCUUUUAAACCUUAAUACA
This 300-nucleotide unclassified non-coding RNA is filed under the name Mycenaceae sp. RNAcentral describes it as "partial contains small subunit ribosomal RNA and internal transcribed spacer 1". The stretch from base 1 to 46 matches the Rfam family "Eukaryotic small subunit ribosomal RNA", at positions 1786 to 1831 of the family's 1831-position model. Lineage: Eukaryota; Fungi; Basidiomycota; Agaricomycetes; Agaricales; Mycenaceae. The record is from RNAcentral.